GAUGAACGCUGGCGGCGUGCCUAAUACAUGCAAGUCGAGCGAACGGACGAGAAGCUUGCUUCUCUGAUGUUAGCGGCGGACGGGCGAGUAACACGUGGAUAACCUACCUAUAAGACUGGGAUAACUUCGGGAAACCGUAGCUAAUACCGGAUAAUAUUUUGAACCGCAUGGUUCAAAAGUGAAAGACGGUCUUGCUGUCACUUAUAGAUGGAUCCGCGCUGCAUUAGCUAGUUGGUAAGGUAACGGCUUACCAAGGCAACGAUGCAUAGCCGACCUGAGAGGGUGAUCGGCCACACUGGAACUGAGACACGGUCCAGACUCCUACGGGAGGCAGCAGUAGGGAAUCUUCCGCAAUGGGCGAAAGCCUGACGGAGCAACGCCGCGUGAGUGGUGAAGGUCUUCGGAUCGUAAAACUCUGUUAUUAGGGAGGAACAUAUGUGUAAGUAACUGUGCACAUCUUGACGGUACCUAAUCAGAAAGCCACGGCUAACUACGUG
Molecule: ribosomal RNA, 497 nt
Filed under: uncultured bacterium
Lineage: Bacteria
Description: partial 16S ribosomal RNA
Rfam family: Bacterial small subunit ribosomal RNA
Source: RNAcentral